This 253-nucleotide ribosomal RNA is filed under the name uncultured bacterium. RNAcentral's name for it is "partial 16S ribosomal RNA". It matches the Rfam family "Bacterial small subunit ribosomal RNA", at positions 524 to 776 of the family's 1533-position model. The record is from RNAcentral.
UACGGGGGGGGCAAGCGUUGUUCGGAAUUACUGGGCGUAAAGGGCUCGUAGGUGGCCAACUAAGUCACACGUGAAAUCCCCAGGCUCAACCUGGGAACUGCGUCCGAUACUGGAUGGCUUGAAUCCGGGAGAGGGAUGCAGAAUUCCAGGUGUAGCGGUGAAAUGCGUAGAUAUCUGGAGGAAUACCGGUGGCGAAGGCGGCAUCCUGGACCGGCAUUGACGCUGAGGAGCGAAAGCCAGGGGAGCAAACGGG